UAUCAGUGAGCGCCUCGUCGCGAUGACACCCAGGAACACCCCUUCUGAGAUAAUAAUUAAUCGCACAAAUAUUUAUGAAGUUUAUAACUUGAUGUAGAAUGUCAGUAGAUGUAUGUUCUGCAGUAUGCCGACGUAUUUUAAAAAUAGUAUGUUUUCUAUGUAAUUUUCUAGUUUGAUAUUUUUUUACACCGGCCUUACCAAACACCGGGAUGAGGACUACGGACCCAGACGACACGGAACUAGAAGAGUCGGAGAACCUUCCGCACAAGUUUCUGGAGCAGGUUAUCCAUUACUUCCACCACGGCACCAAACACAACGGUAGUGUCGACCUGAGAGAGCCACAGCUGAGGUAUUCCUUCGUCUCCCUCUACCCUCUGUUUGUGCUCCUAUACUCCAUGAUAGUGACCGUCGGAACACUCUCCAACGGUGUCAUGAUCUACGUCAUAUUCCGCGACAGGCUGUACAAGGACCAGACGUUCUGCUACUUCAUCAACUUGGCCCUCAGCGACAUGGUCAAGUGCAUCUUCGUGCUGCCCAUCUCGCUCAUGGUCAUACUAAUCCACAACUGGAUCUUCGGGAGCUUUCUCUGCUAUUUCUUGCCCAUGAUGCAGGACAUACCAAUGCAUGUCUCGAUGCUCACCUAUCUUCUGAUCGCCUUCGACAGGUUUCGCUACCUGCAGGACCCCACCAAGGCCAGGAUACCCGCCUUCGUCAUGGCUACAGGCUCCUGGCUGAUGGCCCUGUGUAUCGUGCUGCCUUAUCCUAUAUACACCACCUACGUCGACCUCGGGACAUUUGGGAAGGAGUAUCUGGAGGGUGUGGGUAUCUGCGCGGUCAACCUGGCCGACGAUAUGCAAGAGUAUGUACGGGGGCUCUUCUUUGCCAUGUACGUGCUACCACUGACGACUAUCGCAUACCUCUACGUGCGGAUGUCACGUGAAAUUGAAGUAAAAGAGGGUCCACUGGCAGUGAUUAUGUACGAGGCUCGGUCCCGGACCAACUCCAACGGCAGCCCAAGGAGUGUCAGCCAGGGACAAGCUCACUUUAGGUACAGGUCCCCGACUGCUAACUUUGACCUAUACGAAAACGAGUUGGAUAUUAAAAAGGAGAAGAAAGUCCAACAAUAUCUUAUCACGAUGGUGACGGUGUUUGGCAUCUGCCUUUGCCCUCUCAUGGUUCUUAGAUUAGCAAAGAUGGCCGUGGCGGAGACGUACGAGAACACCGGCCACUUUGACCUGACGUACGUGACGUUCGUGUGGGUGGCCUUCCUCCCAACCUGCACAACUCCGCUCCUGUUCAUCUAUUGGCGAAUGACUAAGUCGACCAAGGAGCGGUUGCGGGGAUACCUGAGACUGAGCAACCGCCACUUGCGACGUAACUGCGAGUCUCCUCCAGAUCACCGACGUGGUGACGUCAUGACUCGCCUGGGGAUGGACUCUGGCCGCAACAGCGAGGGAACCCUCAGUACGACGCCGGUUAUCAACAACUCCUGAUCACCGCUACUGGCCCGCAGCAUUAGGGCCACCUGAACCGCUUAACAGACAACGCUGGACUGCGAGGCACGAGAGUGUGUGGAAGAGAGCACUGGCUGGUCCCAUGACCGCCUGAGCCCGAGCAUGGGACCACCCUGAGGAAUGACCUGAAUAGACAUUGUCAAUCAAACCGGUUCGAUACUGUCUAUAAAAAAACAAAGUGUUUAAUAGUGAUGUCUCAAGCUCAACAUGAUGUUUAUGUAUUUUUAUAUGUAAUUUAUAUUAGCUACGCAUAAAAUGUGUUUAUUGUUGCAUAAGUGGUUUACCACUGUUUUUACAAAGUAGAACUAUCAUUAUUGUUGAUGAAGUAUGUGCUACAAGAACCAA
RNA transcript from Macrosteles quadrilineatus (aster leafhopper), 1859 nucleotides. It is a transcript of the gene named prolactin-releasing peptide receptor-like, with no coding region annotated. Lineage: Eukaryota; Metazoa; Arthropoda; Insecta; Hemiptera; Cicadellidae. The record is from RefSeq and is a predicted model, not a curated record. The transcript has 8 exons.